GACGAACGCUGGCGGCGUGCUUAACACAUGCAAGUCGAACGGAAAGGCCCUGCUUUUGUGGGGUGCUCGAGUGGCGAACGGGUGAGUAACACGUGAGUAACCUGCCCUUGACUUUGGGAUAACUUCAGGAAACUGGGGCUAAUACCGGAUAGGAGCUCCUGCUGCAUGGUGGGGGUUGGAAAGUUUCGGCGGUUGGGGAUGGACUCGCGGCUUAUCAGCCUGUUGGUGGGGUAGUGGAUUACCAAGUCUUUGACGGGUAGCCGGCCUGAGAGGGUGACCGGCCACAUUGGGACUGAGAUACGGCCCAGACUCCUACGGGAGGCAGCAGUGGAGAAUAUUGCACAAUGGGCUGAAGCCUGAUGCAGCAACGCCGCGUGCGGGAUGACGUCCUGCGGGUUGUAAACCGCUUUCGCCUGUGACGAAGCGUGAGUGACGGUAAUGGGUAAAGAAGCACCGGCUAACUAUGUG
RNAcentral lists this ribosomal RNA (468 nucleotides) under uncultured bacterium. RNAcentral describes it as "partial 16S ribosomal RNA". It matches the Rfam family "Bacterial small subunit ribosomal RNA", at positions 28 to 507 of the family's 1533-position model. The record is from RNAcentral.